RNAcentral lists this non-coding RNA (1835 nucleotides) under Cryptosporidium parvum. Lineage: Eukaryota; Apicomplexa; Conoidasida; Eucoccidiorida; Cryptosporidiidae. The record is from RNAcentral.
UGAAUUGAUGUAAAAUGUCAAAAAAAAACCAGAAAAAAUAAGAUUUUGUGUGCCUUAACAAAAUUAACAAAUAUAAGCUAUGCUAAUGAUUACUUAAGUAAUAUUAAAAUAGAUUCCUUUGUAGUUUGUUUUCAAUAUAUCUCUUAAUUACUAAUAGGAACAUCCUCUUGUUGGAGAUGUAGGCGAAUAACUAUAUUCAUUGCUGCAAGCUCAUUUGAAAGAUAUCUAAAGAUAUAUGGAAGCGUAAUAAUUCUGCAGGGAGAUUUACAAACCCUACAAACCGCAAUAGGUGGGAUGCAAUUUGAAAGCUUGCUACUAGACAUUGAUUGUGCCAUAGCCCUCUUUGAAAUGGAAGAGAUUAUAAGUCCGCAUUUUGGACAAACAUAUGCUCUGUGCUCGUCUGAGCAAAUAAGUAACCUAUCAACAAGAAUAGAGCUGACACCAUACGAAAUUAGAGAGUCUCUUUCCAUCUCUCCAAAUCUAAUACCACCAUGUCUUUUUCUUCCCUUAACAGGCUGUCUAGUUAACGCGUCAAUUGGACCGGUUGCUCUAACUUGAGCCUUAUCAGCAACCAUAUGACGAAGUCUUUGAUAAUAAAUAACUCCCAUAAAGAUAUGACAUGGGAGCUCUACUCCCGUCAUUCCAUUAUAAAGUGGUUCGCACCCAUAAUAUUGGAAACCUGCUCUUUCUAAAGCUUUACCAAAGUAGUCCACAGUAGUCUUUUCACCCGCUUUGUCAUCCUCGCAAUUCUCUUCAGAUCUUGAAAGAUCAUCAGAAAUAUUAAUGUUGAAUGGAGUUGCAUCCAAACUUCUUGCUCCAUGAAUACAAGCUGCUUUUCCUCCCAUAGACUCUAAGAGCAUACCGAUAGUCAUACGAGAAGGAAAACCAUGCGGAUUGAAUAGAAUAUCAGGAACCAUACCAGAUUCGCUAAAUGGCAUGUUUUCUUGUGGCCAAAGCAUUGAAAGAAUACCUUUUUGGCCAUGUCUAGAGGCAAAUUUAUCACCAACCAUAGGAUUUCUUACGAUUCUUAGUUUGAUAGACACCUUUUCUCCGUAACCAGAAGAACUUGAAGCCCCAUCUCCUCCCCCUCCACUUAAAGAAUCUUGUUGAAGUUCAAUAGAAAUCCCGCUAGCUAUCCUAUUAAUUUUCUCGACAAAUGCAACCUCAUCGUCAUGAUAAGUUUGAAUAGUUGCAUUGGAAGGGCCCCCUCCAGAACCUAUACGUUCAACCCUACAUAUUGGUGAGCCUUUUGUAAGUCUUUGGCCAAUAUUAGGAAGCCCAUCUGCUGAAAGCUCUUUAACAACUAGCUCACCGUCUGGCCCAAUAUUAUGAAAGAAGUAGCUUUCUGCAUCACUCUUUUUUGUAGCACUAGGAGGAGCUGCUGAAAUGAUUUUGGUUUUAUAGACACAGGCAUGGAACAUUCCUCUAUCAUAAGAUGAUUUGUUAAGAAUCAUAGCAUCCUCCAUAUCAUAACCUGAAUAUGACAUUACAGCAACGAUUGCAUUUGUUCCAGUUGGAUAUUCAGAAAAACCAAAGGAUGAAUAUCCUUUAGUAAUAAUAGUUGGCUCUUGAGGAGUUAAAAGCCUAUACAUCUUAUUGUCGGUUCUAUAUGGGUGGUUAAGGCAAGGAGUACCCAUUGUUUGUUUAAGCAUCUGGCACUGAUACAUAUUUCUUGGACUUUGGUUAUGGUGAGCAUAAGGAAUAAGGCUUGCAGUAACUGAUAGAAUUGUUGAUGGAUGGAGCUCCAUGUGAGUGUAGUUAACCGGUACAGAUGAAAGCACUCUGUCAUUAUCUUUAAUUAGUUUCUUUAAAGCUUUAAGGUCGUUUUUUAGCUG